This 509-nucleotide ribosomal RNA is filed under the name Penicillium chrysogenum. RNAcentral describes it as "partial large subunit ribosomal RNA". It matches the Rfam family "Eukaryotic large subunit ribosomal RNA", at positions 92 to 604 of the family's 3401-position model. Lineage: Eukaryota; Fungi; Ascomycota; Eurotiomycetes; Eurotiales; Aspergillaceae. The record is from RNAcentral.
AGUGAAGCGGCAAGAGCUCAAAUUUGAAAGCUGGCUCCUUCGGGGUCCGCAUUGUAAUUUGUAGAGGAUGCUUCGGGAGCGGUCCCCAUCUAAGUGCCCUGGAACGGGACGUCAUAGAGGGUGAGAAUCCCGUAUGGGAUGGGGUGUCCGCGCCCGUGUGAAGCUCCUUCGACGAGUCGAGUUGUUUGGGAAUGCAGCUCUAAAUGGGUGGUAAAUUUCAUCUAAAGCUAAAUAUUGGCCGGAGACCGAUAGCGCACAAGUAGAGUGAUCGAAAGAUGAAAAGCACUUUGAAAAGAGAGUUAAAAAGCACGUGAAAUUGUUGAAAGGGAAGCGCUUGCGACCAGACUCGCUCGCGGGGUUCAGCCGGCAUUCGUGCCGGUGUACUUCCCCGCGGGCGGGCCAGCGUCGGUUUGGGCGGUCGGUCAAAGGCCCUCGGAAGGUAACGCCCCUAGGGGCGUCUUAUAGCCGAGGGUGCAAUGCGACCUGCCUAGACCGAGGAACGCGCUCGG